GAUGAACGCUGGCGGCGUGCCUAAUACAUGCAAGUCGAGCGAACAGACGAGGAGCUUGCUCCUCUGACGUUAGCGGCGGACGGGUGAGUAACACGUGGAUAACCUACCUAUAAGACUGGGAUAACUUCGGGAAACCGGAGCUAAUACCGGAUAAUAUAUUGAACCGCAUGGUUCAAUAGUGAAAGACGGUUUUGCUGUCACUUAUAGAUGGAUCCGCGCCGCAUUAGCUAGUUGGUAAGGUAACGGCUUACCAAGGCAACGAUGCGUAGCCGACCUGAGAGGGUGAUCGGCCACACUGGAACUGAGACACGGUCCAGACUCCUACGGGAGGCAGCAGUAGGGAAUCUUCCGCAGUGGGCGAAAGCCUGACGGAGCAACGCCGCGUGAGUGAUGAAGGUCUUCGGAUCGUAAUACUCUGUUAUUAGGGAAGAACAGAUGUGUAAGUAACUAUGCACGUCUUGACGGUACCUAAUCAGAAAGCCACGGCUAACUACGUG
This 497-nucleotide ribosomal RNA is filed under the name uncultured bacterium. Its description in RNAcentral is "partial 16S ribosomal RNA". It matches the Rfam family "Bacterial small subunit ribosomal RNA", at positions 28 to 507 of the family's 1533-position model. The record is from RNAcentral.